RNAcentral lists this ribosomal RNA (450 nucleotides) under uncultured bacterium. RNAcentral describes it as "partial 16S ribosomal RNA". It matches the Rfam family "Bacterial small subunit ribosomal RNA", at positions 354 to 796 of the family's 1533-position model. The record is from RNAcentral.
GUGGGGAAUUUUGGACAAUGGGCGCAAGCCUGAUCCAGCCAUUCCGCGUGCAGGAUGAAGGCCUUCGGGUUGUAAACUGCUUUUGUACGGAACGAAAAGCCUCUGGUUAAUACCCGGGGGUCAUGACGGUACCGUAAGAAUAAGCACCGGCUAACUACGUGCCAGCAGCCGCGGUAAUACGUAGGGUGCGAGCGUUAAUCGGAAUUACUGGGCGUAAAGCGUGCGCAGGCGGUGAUGUAAGACAGUUGUGAAAUCCCCGGGCUCAACCUGGGAACUGCAUCUGUGACUGCAUUGCUGGAGUGCGGCAGAGGGGGAUGGAAUUCCGCGUGUAGCAGUGAAAUGCGUAGAUAUGCGGAGGAACACCGAUGGCGAAGGCAAUCCCCUGGGCCUGCACUGACGCUCAUGCACGAAAGCGUGGGGAGUAAACAGGAUUAGAUACCCUUGUAGUCC